This 231-nucleotide long non-coding RNA is filed under the name Elaeis guineensis (African oil palm). RNAcentral describes it as "long non-coding RNA (EGUI_LNC013218)". The record is from RNAcentral. Lineage: Eukaryota; Viridiplantae; Streptophyta; Magnoliopsida; Arecales; Arecaceae.
CACUAUGGAGGGAACCUUGAACAGUUUAAGGGGCACUAUUCUCACUAUUGAGCGGACUUCUUCCAAGAGAAAGUCUACUGAAAAGAAGAAGGCAAAAUCUGUUAAGAAGUAGAAAAAAAAAUAGGCCAAAGAAGGAAGUUCCUAGCAAGACCGAAGUAAAGAAAAAAUAUUUUCACUGUCAUGCUAAAGGCCACUGAAGGAGCAACUGUCCAAAAUAUCUAGAGAGCCUAA